RNAcentral lists this ribosomal RNA (303 nucleotides) under uncultured bacterium. RNAcentral describes it as "partial 16S ribosomal RNA". It matches the Rfam family "Bacterial small subunit ribosomal RNA", at positions 507 to 807 of the family's 1533-position model. The record is from RNAcentral.
AGCAGUCGCCGCGGUAAUACGAAGGGGGCUAGCGUUGUUCGGAUUUACUGGGCGUAAAGCGCACGUAGGCGGACUUUUAAGUCAGGGGUGAAAUCCCGGGGCUCAACCCCGGAACUGCCUUUGAUACUGGAAGUCUUGAGUAUGGUAGAGGUGAGUGGAAUUCCGAGUGUAGAGGUGAAAUUCGUAGAUAUUCGGAGGAACACCAGUGGCGAAGGCGGCUCACUGGACCAUUACUGACGCUGAGGUGCGAAAGCGUGGGGAGCAAACAGGAUUAGAUACCCCUGUAGUCCCUGUCUCUUAUAC